Molecule: ribosomal RNA, 115 nt
Filed under: Sinocyclocheilus rhinocerous
Lineage: Eukaryota; Metazoa; Chordata; Actinopteri; Cypriniformes; Cyprinidae
Source: RNAcentral
CGGCAGCCAUAUCACCCUGUAGCCCAAGACUGGUUGCCCACUGAAGCUAAGCAGGGCUGAGCCUGGUCAGUACCUGGAUGGGAGACCUCCUGGGAGUGCUAUAUUAAUGUAAUGA